Molecule: ribosomal RNA, 524 nt
Filed under: uncultured bacterium
Lineage: Bacteria
Description: bacterial SSU rRNA
Rfam family: Bacterial small subunit ribosomal RNA
Source: RNAcentral
UGAGGGAUAUUGGGCAAUGGGGGCAACCCUGACCCAGCGACGCCGCGUGGAGGACGACGGGCUUCGGCCUGUAAACUCCUUUUCCCAGGGACGAGACAAGGACGGUACCUGGGGAAUAAGUCUCGGCUAACUACGUGCCAGCAGCCGCGGUAAAACGUAGGAGGCAAGCGUUAUCCGGAAUUACUGGGCGUAAAGGGCGUCUAGGCGGUCGGUCAAGCACGAUGUGAAAGCGCCUGGCUUAACUGGGCGAGUGCGUUGUGAACUGGCGGACUAGAGGGCAGGCGACGGCGGUGGAAUUCCCGGUGGAGUGGUGAAAUGCGUAGAUAUCGGGAGGAACACCAGUGGCGAAGGCGGCCGCCGAGCCUGUUUCUGACGCUGAAGCGCGACAGCGUGGGGAGCAAACGGGAUUAGAUACCCCGGUAGUCCACGCCGUAAACGAUGGUGACUAGGUGUGGCGGGUCUAACGACCUGUCGUGCCGUAGCUAACGCGCUAAGUCACCCGCCUGGGGAGUACGGCCGCAAGG